GGAGGUGUAGCUCAGAGGUAGAGCAUUUGCCUAGCACACAUGAGACCCUGGGUCCAAUCCCCAGUCCCUCAU
RNAcentral lists this transfer RNA (72 nucleotides) under Ictidomys tridecemlineatus (thirteen-lined ground squirrel). Its description in RNAcentral is "Spermophilus tridecemlineatus (thirteen-lined ground squirrel) tRNA". It matches the Rfam family "tRNA". Rfam says of the family: Transfer RNA (tRNA) molecules are approximately 80 nucleotides in length. Their secondary structure includes four short double-helical elements and three loops (D, anti-codon, and T loops). Further hydrogen bonds mediate the characteristic L-shaped molecular structure. tRNAs have two regions of fundamental functional importance: the anti-codon, which is responsible for specific mRNA codon recognition, and the 3' end, to which the tRNAs corresponding amino acid is attached (by aminoacyl-tRNA synthetases). tRNAs cope with the degeneracy of the genetic code in two manners: having more than one tRNA (with a specific anti-codon) for a particular amino acid; and 'wobble' base-pairing, i.e. permitting non-standard base-pairing at the 3rd anti-codon position. Lineage: Eukaryota; Metazoa; Chordata; Mammalia; Rodentia; Sciuridae. The record is from Rfam by way of RNAcentral.